Molecule: transfer RNA, 67 nt
Filed under: Marmota monax (woodchuck)
Lineage: Eukaryota; Metazoa; Chordata; Mammalia; Rodentia; Sciuridae
Description: tRNA.Ala
Source: RNAcentral
GGUUUUAGCUCAGUGGUAGUGCACUUGCCUAGCAUGUGUGAGGCACUGGGUUCAAUUCUCAGCACCA